RNAcentral lists this ribosomal RNA (433 nucleotides) under uncultured bacterium. Its description in RNAcentral is "partial 16S ribosomal RNA". It matches the Rfam family "Bacterial small subunit ribosomal RNA", at positions 29 to 507 of the family's 1533-position model. The record is from RNAcentral.
AACGAACGCUGGCGGCAUGCCUAACACAUGCAAGUCGAACGAUGCCUUCGGGCAUAGUGGCGCACGGGUGCGUAACGCGUGGGAAUCUGCCUUUCGGUUCGGAAUAACUCAGGGAAACUUGAGCUAAUACCGGAUAACGUCGCAAGACCAAAGAUUUAUCACCGAAAGAUGAGCCCGCGUAGGAUUAGCUAGUUGGUGAGGUAAAGGCUCACCAAGGCGACGAUCCUUAGCUGGUCUGAGAGGAUGAUCAGCCACACUGGGACUGAGACACGGCCCAGACUCCUACGGGAGGCAGCAGUGGGGAAUAUUGGACAAUGGGCGAAAGCCUGAUCCAGCAAUGCCGCGUGAGUGAUGAAGGCCUUGGGGUUGUAAAGCUCUUUUACCCGGGAAGAUAAUGACGGUACCGGGAGAAUAAGCCCCGGCUAACUCCGUG